This is a long non-coding RNA of Oryzias latipes (Japanese medaka), 1950 nucleotides long. RefSeq lists it as uncharacterized. The record is from RefSeq and is a predicted model, not a curated record. NCBI's taxonomy places the organism in Eukaryota, Metazoa, Chordata, Actinopteri, Beloniformes, Adrianichthyidae.
UUAUUAUUAAAACUUAUGGUAUCAACAUCCAUCCUUAAAAGACUAAAUUUAAAGUAUGUGUAAAUCCAUACAUAGUCCUUACCUAAAAUUUAAAUACAACACAAACAUCUCCUUGUUGCAUCCCUGCCACUUUUAAAUUGAAACAACUGAAAAGACUAAACUAUAAAGAAAAGAAAUUCACCUUUCUCUCGACGCGUUGCGUGUAUGUUCAAACCUGGCAACGUUAUCCAGUACCGUCCUUUAGCGUUUUCCAGAGCUUUCUGUCCUCACAGGACACUGUCGUGUCAUCCGCGCAGAGCAGCGAGAAGGACGAUCCAGUUCUUCAUACUGGAUUUGUCAGUGGGAGGGGAGGCAGAUCAGAGCAGUGGUACUGCCCAUUCCACCCUCAGCUACAUCAUGGCUUUGUGAUGGAAGAGAUCCUGCAACAAGCUCAGACAGCACCGCAAACAGGCUCCACGCUCAGUUCACACUGUUUCCUGUUUAUACUGCUCUUCACUGAGAAUCAGUGAGAAUUUCAGGUGGACUAACACUGUUUUUCUGCUUGCUCAGCAGCUCAGGGCAAAUGGGUAAUUGGUGAGAAGAUGGCUCUGAAGAACAGGAAGAAGCUCUUAGAAACCUCUGCUGCUCACCCCAGACAAUCUACCGUACAUUUGACUCCAUAAUACACUUCCUUAGGCUGCUGUGAUUGCUCCGCCCACUUUUCAGUUGAGAUUAAGCAAUUGGUGAAGAGGCUUAGGGUUUGAUUCCCCAAGCUGUGGGAUCAGUCACACUCCAGCUUGGUACAAAAUAAAACCUAAACCAAACUGCAAGCAGUUUUCUUUACAUCACAUAUCAUUUCUUCUAUACACACUAGCAAACAGUAGGUGUUUACUGUCACCUACACCAAUGCCUCUCAAAUAGUGGGGCGCGCCCCCUGUGAUGCCAAGGGGGGGGGCGAAACAUUUUCAUUUUCCUAGGGGGGGGGGCCUUGCUAAAAACAGUUGAGAAGCACUGACCUACACCAACAGGCUUUAGCGUGGCUUUGUGUGCAUUUUUUAGUUGACGUUUCAACACUAGUUCAGUGGGUGGGCGUUUAGUACGUAGAGCCCGAAAACAGACAAUAAUCAUUGAAACUUGUGUAGCUAUGCGGGAAUGCGACACUUUUGAACACCCAAAACACACAUUUAAGGAUGUUUACAUAGACUUUUCAUUAGAAAUAGUCGCUCGAAUGCGAUCAUUUCCUUGCAGUGCGAAAACAACACAUCUUGAAGGUGGUAGAAAAUGUAUUUCAGCUAACCGUCCUAGAGGGAGGAUGUCCAAAAAAAACGGGACUGGUUCUAAAACGGAACCUGGAGGAAUACCAUAUGAAAGCUGUGCUGUUUUAGAAAAUAAAUGAAUUGCAGAAACAGAAACCUCUGUCAAUGCAGUAUGAUAAAAACCAGAAAAUCCAACAAGAUUUGCAAGUCUCUCUGUCUCCAUAAUAUGUGAGGAUAAGGUCUAAUGAACCAUGACGAAGCAUUUUUCAUAGUCAGGGGCAAAUAUAUAGUCUCAUUUAAAGAUCUUAUUAAAGCGCUUUCAUUUGGAGAAGAAUACAGCUUCAUUUUCUGCGACAGGGCAAAGACGUCCUGACUCCUCAGUGGAUUAAAACACAACCGCAUAUUUGGUGAAGAUGCGGCACCAACAAACUGAACAGAUGAAGCAGCUGGAGAGAUGCUGGUAAUGUGGUUUUUACAGAAAAAAGGUUUCUCUUCGUGACAAAAACAAACCCGCCUCUAUUUGCGUUUGCAAAGAAGUGAUUUCUCACAUGUUACAGUCAUUGUCUACCAGACCAAAACAUGUAUCCAACCAGAAAGAUGUUUGUUUGACUGAAGACAAGUUAUCAAUGAUGAAGAAUGACCCAUGGCUCACAACUUGAUCCAAAAAGAAAACAAUCCAAAUUUAUUUGAAUAAACUGGAACUUAUUCAGCUGCA